GACGAACGCUGGCGGCGUGCUUAACACAUGCAAGUCGAACGGAAAGGCCCUGCUCUUGUGGGGUGCUCGAGUGGCGAACGGGUGUGUCACACGAGUGUAACCUGCCCUUGACUUUGGGAUAACUUGAGGAAACUGGGGCUAAUACCGGAUAGGAGCCUCUGCUGCAUGGGGGGGUUUGGAAAGUUUGGGCGGUUGGGGAUGGACUCGGGGCUUAUCAGCUUGUUGGUGGGGUAGUGGCUUACAAAGGCUUUGACGGGUAGCCGGCCUGAGAGGGUGACCGGCCACAUUGGGACUGAGAUACGGCCCAGACUCCUACGGGAGGCAGCAGUGGGGAAUAUUGCACAAUGGGCGGAAGCCUGAUGCAGCAACGCCGCGUGCGGGAUGACGGCCUUCGGGUUGUAAACCGCUUUCGCCUGUGACGAAGCGUGAGUGACGGUAAUGGGUAAAGAAGCACCGGCUAACUACGUG
This 468-nucleotide ribosomal RNA is filed under the name uncultured bacterium. RNAcentral describes it as "partial 16S ribosomal RNA". It matches the Rfam family "Bacterial small subunit ribosomal RNA", at positions 28 to 507 of the family's 1533-position model. The record is from RNAcentral.